UUUGCCCAACUUAAUUAGUUAAUUACGGCCCUAAGUUUGAAAGUUGAAAUUUAUCAUUCCAUCUCUUUUAAUUAGAUUUUUAACCUUUGUAAUGUCAAUUUUUAUACUUUCAGAAUAAGAAAAAUACGGUUCCAAAAUUCAGAGAGGUUGCAUGUCGUGAUUCUUGCGAGAUUCACGCCUACCUUUUCUCCAUUCAAAAUCCGAUUGCCAUUUCUUUCAAACUUCCCAUUUCUGUUGCUUUUCAAAAUUUGAAUUCAAAAUGGGUUCAACUAGGUCAGCCUCUAAAAAUUCUCCCCCGCAAAAAAUGAACAUAUCGACAUCUAAUCCGAGUUCUAGCAAAAGAAAAAUUGAUUUUGCUACGGAAACGAAGAAUCGCCGAGCUGUUGUUCAUGAAAACGAUGACAGUGACUUCGACGAUUUCGAAAUACCUCCUAAGAAGACGGAUAGGCCUGUUUCAUCUGAAAUAUUUGCUAUAAAGGAUUGGGAUUAUUUCAUACAACCUUCGGACCAUUUUCCUAUUAAGGUUACCCAUCUGAUCAAACCAAGAUGUAUAGCGAGUUUUCGUUAUUCAAGACCUACGUUGAGAAGCAAUUUUUUGAAGUUUUAAGUGUAUUGUCUGAUUUGAAGAGUGCUGUGUUUUUGAAUGAUCAUCACGAUCAUGCGACGGAGGAUGUUGCUGGAGAUGUUUCAUCCUCAGAAGCUACCAAAGUAUGUUAUCCAAGAAAUCUGAUGACGGAGACCAUGAUGCUGUGGAGACACCUAAAGAUAUUUUUGAAUCUGGUACAUCAAAGGAGGAUCAUGUUCAAAAUGAUGGACAAGAUGGUGAUAAGAAACCCGAAGAUGACUCUAAUUGUAUUAGGAACGUCUUGGUUACCUCUUGUAUCGGUAUGGGCGGAUGAAGCUUGAAAGGAACAUUCAAAGCGACGAGGUGGUUGAACCGAAACCGAAACUGAAGUUUGGAAGACCAAAGAAAAUUCCUCAACAUAUCAUAGAAUAGCUUGUUUACUUUGAAUUUUAUGAUAUCAGUUUGUAAUACUUUUUUCUUGUUAUUUUAGUACUUUAUUAGCAGUAGUACAUUUUGGUAAUAGUUGGUAUGUUUUUACAUUUUGGAUACCUGCUGGCAUACAAUUGGGUACCAGUUGAUAUACAUUUGGGUACUAUUUGGCAUACUAAGGUUUUUUUAA
Mercurialis annua (annual mercury) is the source of this 1184-nucleotide long non-coding RNA. RefSeq lists it as uncharacterized. The transcript has 3 exons. The record is from RefSeq and is a predicted model, not a curated record. NCBI's taxonomy places the organism in Eukaryota, Viridiplantae, Streptophyta, Magnoliopsida, Malpighiales, Euphorbiaceae.